UGAGAGGCUGGUGCGGGCAGGUGCCUCGCCAACCCGGUCAGAUCCGGAAGGAAGCAGCCGUAACGAGACCCACUUGGGUCGUUAUCAGCCUCUCACCC
Molecule: signal recognition particle RNA, 98 nt
Filed under: Sulfitobacter litoralis
Lineage: Bacteria; Pseudomonadati; Pseudomonadota; Alphaproteobacteria; Rhodobacterales; Roseobacteraceae
Description: signal recognition particle sRNA small type
Rfam family: Bacterial small signal recognition particle RNA
About the family: The signal recognition particle (SRP) is a universally conserved ribonucleoprotein involved in the co-translational targeting of proteins to membranes.
Source: RNAcentral